GACGAACGCUGGCGGCGUGCUUAACACAUGCAAGUCGAACGGAAAGGCCCCUUUGGGGGUACUCGAGUGGCGAACGGGUGAGUAACACGUGAGUAACCUGCCCUUGACUUCGGGAUAACUUCAUGAAACUGGGGCUAAUACCGGAUAGGAAUCCUUGCUGCAUGGUGGGGGUUGGAAAGCUUCGGCGGUUUUGGAUGGACUCGCGGCUUAUCAGCUUGUUGGUGGGGUAGUGGCUUACCAAGGCUUUUACGGGUAGCCGGCCUGAGAGGGCGACAGGCCACAUUGGGACUGAGAUACGGCCCAGACUCCUACGGGAGGCAGCAGUGGGGAAUAUUGCACAAUGGGCGGAAGCCUGAUGCAGCAACGCCGCGUGCGGGAUGACGGCCUUCGGGUUGUAAACCGCUUUCAGCAGGGGCGAAGCUUGUGGUGACGGUACCUGCAGAAGAAGCACCGGCUAACUACGUG
Molecule: ribosomal RNA, 465 nt
Filed under: uncultured bacterium
Lineage: Bacteria
Description: partial 16S ribosomal RNA
Rfam family: Bacterial small subunit ribosomal RNA
Source: RNAcentral